RNAcentral lists this unclassified non-coding RNA (21 nucleotides) under Mus musculus (house mouse). RNAcentral's name for it is "oocyte_clustered_small_RNA752". The record is from RNAcentral. Lineage: Eukaryota; Metazoa; Chordata; Mammalia; Rodentia; Muridae.
CCCUGUGACCCAUCUAAUAGC